RNAcentral lists this long non-coding RNA (1048 nucleotides) under Daucus carota (carrot). Its description in RNAcentral is "long non-coding RNA (DCAR_LNC006993)". The record is from RNAcentral. Lineage: Eukaryota; Viridiplantae; Streptophyta; Magnoliopsida; Apiales; Apiaceae.
AUUUGAAAAUCAGACUAUCCACCUGUAUAUAAAAAUUUAAUACACCAACUAUUCCUCACCGAGGAUCGAUUCCAGGUUAUGGUAUGAAACAAGAAACCAAUUAAUACAAAUUAUUACAACUUCCAUUUAUAAUCUAAUCUCAACUAUUGUACCGUCAAAUCUGAAGCUCAUACCAAAUCUGUGCCUGCCCGCGCUGGCUCUGAAAUCUGUCUUGAAUAGAAUGCCUCAUCGCUCUGAUUCGAAAGGAAAAAUACAGGUAGAUCAUCUUUAAGCCUAACUGCAAAGGGUUAGGUAGAAACAAAGCAAGAGUGAGCCAAAGAACGCCCAGCAAGUUAAUAAUAUAGUGAAACAAUGGUGUCACGAUAAUUCAUUGAUGAACAAUAUCAAUGAAUACUUUACUUCAAAAGAUCAUUCAAUUUCCAUUAUAGGAUUAAGCUUUCCAUUUUCUUCAAUCAUAACAUUUCAUCAAAAUAUUCUUUUCUUUAAAACCAUUCCAUCAUUAAAACAUACUUUUCAUAGAACCUUUUAAAAACAUUUUAAGCUGAUUGGAGUUUUUCCUUGACAACGGACAAUACGGGUGAUCAGCCACGUAAAGUCCCCAUACCGGACACGAAGUCCCUCUGGACCUUGAAAUUGGGUUCCCAAUUAGGCAACACAUUGGCCUUCAAUGCUGGACUAGGGGAACCACCCCUAGCCUCUUACGCUAAACAAAAUUUGGACUAGGACCACCCUAGCCUCUUACGUCUCCAAUCUGAAGGAAUCCGUGAAAAACAUUUAACGAAAACCCCCACAUUAAAAUCUUUAAAACCUUUAAAACAAAUCACUUUUAAGUCCUUUAUACUCACUGAUAACAGAUCAGCCCAGUAUAAGGAAUUUUUAAAAACAUCUUUAAUAAAUUAGACCAUUUUAGGGAGCAACAUUAAAGAUUAAGAAAUAGAGAAGCAUUCGAUAUAAAGAAUUAUGAACAACACAACAAUAAUAUUAAGAUUCAGGGAAGCAUUCGAUAUAAAGAAUCAUAGCAACAAAGCAAUAAGAUUGAACUAAACAU